GCUCCAGUGGCGCAAURGGUUAGCGCGUGGUACUUAUAAUGCCGAGGUUGUGAGUUCAAGCCUCACCUAGAGCA
This 74-nucleotide transfer RNA is filed under the name Scleropages formosus (Asian bonytongue). Its description in RNAcentral is "tRNA-Ile". It matches the Rfam family "tRNA". Rfam says of the family: Transfer RNA (tRNA) molecules are approximately 80 nucleotides in length. Their secondary structure includes four short double-helical elements and three loops (D, anti-codon, and T loops). Lineage: Eukaryota; Metazoa; Chordata; Actinopteri; Osteoglossiformes; Osteoglossidae. The record is from RNAcentral.